This 232-nucleotide ribosomal RNA is filed under the name uncultured bacterium. RNAcentral describes it as "partial 16S ribosomal RNA". It matches the Rfam family "Bacterial small subunit ribosomal RNA", at positions 99 to 334 of the family's 1533-position model. The record is from RNAcentral.
CGGACGGGUGAGUAAUGUCUGGGAAACUGCCUGAUGGAGGGGGAUAACUACUGGAAACGGUAGCUAAUACCGCAUAACGUCGCAAGACCAAAGAGGGGGACCUUCGGGCCUCUUGCCAUCGGAUGUGCCCAGAUGGGAUUAGCUAGUAGGUGGGGUAACGGCUCACCUAGGCGACGAUCCCUAGCUGGUCUGAGAGGAUAACCAGCCACACUGGAACUGAGACACGGUCCAG